CCUGUUUAAGGGCAAACCCGGCGAAAGCCGGGGGCGCAAAGCUACGGGCCUAAGGGUGGUAAGAAGCCUAUGGUCGCCGGGCUGCCGGG
This 89-nucleotide non-coding RNA is filed under the name Thermanaeromonas toyohensis. RNAcentral's name for it is "c-di-GMP sequence". It matches the Rfam family "c-di-GMP-I riboswitch aptamer". From Rfam's summary of the family: GEMM was predicted in a large-scale screen for bacterial structured RNA regulatory elements. Genes associated with GEMM are involved in a diverse array of functions, including chemotaxis regulation, signal transduction, secretion and chitin. The record is from RNAcentral. Lineage: Bacteria; Bacillati; Bacillota; Clostridia; Neomoorellales; Neomoorellaceae. RNAcentral also lists the same sequence under 1 other name.